CCCAUGUUCUCGAUGCCGUUGGCGUAGUUUUCUAAACCGCCCAGGGAGAGCGCCGCUGUAUCCCCCCGUCCCAAUCCAUUCCUCCUUGCUCGCCCCAAAUCUUGCUCGCCAGCUAUCGGCAUAAAUCAUGUUUUUGCCGCCGGUUGCCGGAGACGGAGAGGGUAUGGGUGGUGUUUGAGAGCGCGCGACGGAGGUGCGCGGGGUUGCUGUGGCGCGCGCGGGGCACUGCAGAGAUGCGCCUGGAGAAGGCCGCGGCGGAGGUGCACGAGGCUGUGUGGGGAGGCGCACGAGGCUGUGACGGAUAGCGCGAGCGGCUGCGGUGGUGCGCGCGCGGCGAGGCUGCGUUUGAGCGUGCGCGCUUCGGAGGUGCGCACGGGGACUACAGAAGACCCGGUGAGCGUGGCGAAGGUCGUCGGCGAUGACUUCGUUUCUGGCGGUGGAGUCGCCGCUGCUUGAGGUAAGGAUCGACAAUGUCUGAAGCAAGCAAAAGUGGUGGUCAGGAUUUACAAGCUAACCAAGAGGGUCCAGAAGAAACAGAGGCACACCCAUCUCAACAACAAAACCCGACUAUAAUUGGCUACAAGUGUAGGCGCACUAAAGAGGUGAUUUGUCAUGGGAAGCGCUCGUUAGACAUAGAUAGCAAUGCAAGUGCACCAGAUGAUCAUUAAGAAGCCAGGGAGGUCACACAAGAGGAGGAAUCAAAGCCAAAAUGACGGAACACAUGCGAAAAUGAGGGCCUCACUAAAUUCUAAAGUCAAAGCAACAUUUUUGAGGUUUUGUGCAUACACCCAAGCAAGAAGGUUCAACAUCCACUUCCUGUAAAAUCAAUACUCGCUGUUCACGGCAUAAGAAACAAGGGGGAAACACUGGAAAAAUAGUUGCAAUCUGGAUGAACAAGGCAUUUGUAAAAGAGAAGCGGCAUUUGUAAAAGAGAAGCAUCUGAGAGGGCACAACAAGAUGGAAGCUCACCUCUCAGGUCCAUGGCCACCAAAACGAGGGCAACAGUUGUGGUAAUGGAGGAGAGGAACAGAUGGAGAAGGGGAGGUCAAGGGGGUGAGGUUUGGGGGCCUGUGACUGGGAAAGGGAAGGACGAUUUGGUGCGUUGGCGUGAGCCUAUAUAGGGCUAAUGUCAGUAGGGACAGUAGUUAAUAUUGUGACAGACUCGCCCCUGGGGGCCAUGUGCGUGAGGGGACCGUUUUUUUUCUUUUUUGGAUUUGCCAGCUGGAUCAGGGGAAAGGUCCACUACUAAUUUUAGGGUGUGUGCUCUGGACCGCUAGCCAGCCAACUGUUGCUGGCUAGUCGCGUCUGGAGUCCCAAAUCCUAAAAAAAUGUAUACGGUCGCCUAAGGUCUCAAGCGGUCAAAACCCUCUAUGAUUCAAUCACAUCGUCGCCACUAUCAUCCAAUCAUCAUUAGCUACCACUCGGAAUCGGCUGACGCUAGCGAUCAUUGUGUCUACUUUGCGUCAAGUCAUGGGUGAACAAUGAUCCUACAAGGGCCGCGCUGAUCUCUGUUGCUGGUUUGCGUCGAGCCCUCGAGCGUGUUUAAUCUUCCAGAAACUCGGCAUAAGAUUCUUUAAGUAUAAAG
Long non-coding RNA from Triticum aestivum (bread wheat), 1585 nucleotides. RefSeq lists it as uncharacterized. The transcript is spliced from 6 exons. Lineage: Eukaryota; Viridiplantae; Streptophyta; Magnoliopsida; Poales; Poaceae. The record is from RefSeq and is a predicted model, not a curated record.